GUGUAUACAUACAUAUACAUAAACGUUCAUAUAUACUUACAUACAUGCAAAAUGAAUAUAUACAAAUAAUCAGACACACACACACAUAACUAUACACACUCAGACACCCAUUCCCACAAAACAAGCACACAUCAAUUCAUACGCAGAUACACCCAUACUUAGGAUACAUUUGUACACAAACAGAGCAUUAAAAACAAAAAGAAAAGGAAAGAAACGUAAAAGUACCUGUUAAUAGCUUACUAACAGGUGAUUUGUGAGCUCAUUUUCACGGAAUGGCAUGACUUGGGACAGUGCGUUUUAUUUCAUGUCGCUGCUAUCUCAGGACUAAAUACCAAUAUUUCAUAUGGAGAUUACCUGUGAUCGAUCCUGACCAGAUAUUAAGGAAUCAUUACGUUGGUAUUAAUUACUUUAGUACUGAUACAUCGAGAGUUAUGGAAACAGACUGCAGUUCUUUCUUUGGCAAUAACAGCAGCUUGACUUUUAAUUUCCAUUCGAACUCACGUUUCAACUUCUAUCGCUGGAGAUGUACUACGGUGCCAGUUGUUCACAGCCAGUGAACUAAGGUAACACCCUUUGUUUUUUGGGCACCAUUCGGAGUAUUCAAGCGGUUCCAAGCAGUGUUGUUUUCUGCAAGUGCUCUACCCUUACUGCAACCCUUGUUUGUUCCAUGUACUUCCCAAGAUUUUUACUCACUGUUCCCAGGGCUCCGACAAUUAUUGGUACUACAACCACUUUUUUCCUCGACCACAACUACUCAA
This is a long non-coding RNA of Octopus sinensis (East Asian common octopus), 758 nucleotides long. RefSeq lists it as uncharacterized. The record is from RefSeq and is a predicted model, not a curated record. The transcript has 3 exons. Lineage: Eukaryota; Metazoa; Mollusca; Cephalopoda; Octopoda; Octopodidae.